GCAACGCGAAGAACCUCACCUGGUCUUGACAUCCCGGAGACCCUUAGGAACUAGGGGGUGGCUUCCAUCUGGAAGAAUCUGGAGACAGGUGCUGCAUGGCUGUCGUCAGCUCGUGUCGUGAGAUGUUGGGUUAAGUCCCGCAACGAGCGCAACCCUUGCCUCUAGUUGCCAGCAGUUCGGCUGGGCACUCUAAAGGGACUGCCGGUGUUAAACCGGAGGAAGUGGGGAUGACGUCAAGUCCUCAUGGCCUUUAUGACCAGGGCUACACACGUACUACAAUGGCCGAUACAAAGGGCAGCGACACUGCGAGGUGAAGCCAAUCCCGUAAAAUCGGUCUCAGUCCGGAUUGGAGUCUGCAACUCGACUCCAUGAAGUUGGAAUCGCUAGUAAUCGUGGAUCAGCAUGCCACGGUGAAUACGUUCCCGGGCCUU
This 431-nucleotide ribosomal RNA is filed under the name uncultured Desulfobulbus sp. RNAcentral's name for it is "bacterial SSU rRNA". It matches the Rfam family "Bacterial small subunit ribosomal RNA", at positions 956 to 1382 of the family's 1533-position model. Lineage: Bacteria; Pseudomonadati; Thermodesulfobacteriota; Desulfobulbia; Desulfobulbales; Desulfobulbaceae. The record is from RNAcentral.